Molecule: ribosomal RNA, 495 nt
Filed under: uncultured bacterium
Lineage: Bacteria
Description: partial 16S ribosomal RNA
Rfam family: Bacterial small subunit ribosomal RNA
Source: RNAcentral
UGAACGCUGGCGGCGUGCCUAAUACAUGCAAGUCGAGCGAACAGACGAGGAGCUUGCUCCUCUGACGUUAGCGGCGGACGGGUGAGUAACACGUGGAUAACCUACCUAUAAGACUGGGAUAACUUCGGGAAACCGGAGCUAAUACCGGAUAAUAUAUUGAACCGCAUGGUUCAAUAGUGAAAGACGGUUUUGCUGUCACUUAUAGAUGGAUCCGCGCCGCAUUAGCUAGUUGGUAAGGUAACGGCUUACCUAGGCGACGAUGCGUAGCCGACCUGAGAGGGUGAUCGGCCACACUGGAACUGAGACACGGUCCAGACUCCUACGGGAGGCAGCAGUAGGGAAUCUUCCGCAAUGGGCGAAAGCCUGACGGAGCAACGCCGCGUGAGUGAUGAAGGUCUUCGGAUCGUAAAACUCUGUUAUUAGGGAAGAACAAAUGUGUAAGUAACUAUGCACGUCUUGACGGUACCUAAUCAGAAAGCCACGGCUAACUACGUG